This 497-nucleotide ribosomal RNA is filed under the name uncultured bacterium. Its description in RNAcentral is "partial 16S ribosomal RNA". It matches the Rfam family "Bacterial small subunit ribosomal RNA", at positions 28 to 507 of the family's 1533-position model. The record is from RNAcentral.
GAUGAACGCUGGCGGCGUGCCUAAUACAUGCAAGUCGAGCGAACAGAUAAGGAGCUUGCUCCUUUGACGUUAGCGGCGGACGGGUGAGUAACACGUGGGUAACCUACCUAUAAGACUGGGAUAACUUCGGGAAACCGGAGCUAAUACCGGAUAACAUUUGGCACCGCAUGGUUCUAAAGUGAAAGAUGGUUUUGCUAUCUCUUAUAGAUGGACCCGCGCCGUAUUAGCUAGUUGGUAAGGUAACGGCUUACCAAGGCAACGAUACGUAGCCGACCUGAGAGGGGGAUCGGCCACACUGGAACGGAGACGCGGUCCAGACGCCUACGGGAGGCACCAGUAGGGAAUCUGCCGCAAUGGGCGAAAGCCUGACGGAGCAACGCCGCGUGAGUGAUGAAGGGUUUCGGCUCGCAAAAAUCGGUUAUUAGGGAAAAACAAAUGUGUAAGUAACUGAGCACGUCUUGACGGUACCGAAUCAGAAAGCCACGGCUAACUACGUG